UCUUUCUCUCUCUCUCCUCUCCUCUUCUCUCUCUCUCUCUCUCUCUCUCUCUCUCUCUCUCUCGCUUCGUGGACCUGAGAAAGAAAUUUAUUUUCUAUAAACCACUGAACUGGGGCAGUGCCGGAAAUUCUCCUCACCCGGUACUCUGCAGCUUCCAAGGUGCUUCCAACCCCAUUCGCGCCGCAAGGAUCCCACAAGAUCGGGGAAACCGAGGCUUGGGAAGGGUCGGGUGCCCUCCAAGGCAGGCUGCUUGGAAGAAACGGAGCCGGCCUGAACCCCGCGUUUGCAGGUUUCAAAUAACGGCGCGUUUUAAGAGGCCUUUCUGACCUCUCAGAAUUAUUAGUUCGAGCCCCUGGUCCAUCCUGCUCGGAAAUUCGGCCUCUGAUCGAGGAAGCCCUGUGGGGAAGAGGGCUGGUGAUUUAUUCCCUUGUCUUCCUCCUCACCGUCACUACUCCACUCUCUUUCCCCUUCUCCUCGUCUGAGUUUGCUACCAUUUCUUGGUCAAAGCCCCACAGCAUAGAUGCAGGGAGAUGAAAACUCACAAUUUCUCACUCCAGAGCCUGCGUCUGCAUUCACACUGCACCAGGGUUCUGGAACCUUAAGGAGCUCACAAUCACCUGCGGGCUUUGUUAAAACCGGAAUUCUGCGUCCCGCCCCCGGAUACCUCAUUCAAUUGGUCUCAGCUGGGCCUGAGAAUGCGCGUUUCUAACCGGUUCCCGGGGUACGUUUUGGGAAGGACUGCUCUGUGUGUUGCGUGGAAGCCCUCUAGGUUCCUUUGUUCAUAACAAAAACCCUCUUUAGAGGAAAGGGCGUCGUUCUUCUCUGUGUCCCCAGCGUUUACACAAGGCUUGCACACCAGUGCCUAAUAAAUAUUUGGGCUUCAUCAUGAACGCUUAGAGCUGUCACCGUGGUUUACAGAUGUUUAGCGUGUGCCUGGCAUUUUUCUGGGCACAUUAGGAGUAUCUGUUUAAUGCUAGUGACAAUGGUGGGAGUUAAGACCCUUAUUUUGACAUGGAUGGUUCAGAAUGGGGAUGCUAGGAACCGGGAGAGGAGAGCCGGGGAAAUCAUGCCUGUACCCCAAGGGACAGCUGAGUCCCGCUCCACCAACCUGGGACAAACCAGCUUAAACGCACUGUUCAGGAAGACCCACCUCUCUUGGCUGGUAAUGGCUGGGAAAGGGCGGAAUCACCUUCGUAGAAGACCUGCACCUCCAGAGUCCCUGUACCAUGGAAUGUGUGCCCUCAUACCCUUAAACGUUCACCUUGCAGUGCUUUUCCUUGCCGGUCCUUGGCGGGCAAACGGAGAGACCCAGCACUAAGCUUUCUAUGUGGGAAUCACCCCUCAACCUUUCUGAAGGAUCCAGAACCUCCCUCCUGGGCUGGGGGGCCUCGGAUUCUGGAGAAUUCCACAACUUAGAGUCAAGAGGGAUGGCCUAUCCAAACAGUGGAGGUGACGUGGAGGAUCUUAGCAUUCCAUGCACAAUCCUAGCCUCACCUGGGAGAACUGCCACUCAGGGAUCCUCCACGGGGCUCUGGAGUUCAGAGGUUCAAGGUUAAAGUGAAAAGAAAGCUGAGCAUGGAGACUAAAGGAGACUUCAAGUCCCACUUGACAGUUCCUGGCUAAGUGAUCCUAAACAAGCCUCUUAACCUCUCUGAGACUCAGUUUGCUCAUCUAUGCAAUGGGAAUUUGUAAAAAUAAAAAUAAAAUAAAAAAGCCUCCUCUGUCA
Long non-coding RNA from Chlorocebus sabaeus (green monkey), 1726 nucleotides. RefSeq lists it as uncharacterized. The record is from RefSeq and is a predicted model, not a curated record. NCBI's taxonomy places the organism in Eukaryota, Metazoa, Chordata, Mammalia, Primates, Cercopithecidae.